Non-coding RNA from Equus caballus (horse), 5605 nucleotides. The record is from RefSeq and is a predicted model, not a curated record. NCBI's taxonomy places the organism in Eukaryota, Metazoa, Chordata, Mammalia, Perissodactyla, Equidae.
GUGACGUCAGUUUGGCGGGGAGUUUGGUGGCCGGGGCUUACAGUGGCGGGAGUUGGAGGCAAUAACGAAUCGUGUUCUGAAGAGCGCAAGCUACGCUUUCUGCCGAACCUGGGGGCAUUUCCACGGCUCUUCCCUCAGUUGAGUCUUCUCUUCCGGCCCAGAUGCUCUUCAAUUCGGUGCUCCGCCAGCCCCAGUUUGGCGUCCCGAAAAAUGGAUGGUCUUCACAAUACCCUCUACAAUCCCUUCUAACUGGUUAUCAGUGCAACAAUAAUGAUGAGCACACUUCUUAUGGAGAAACGGGGGUCCCAGUUCCUCCUUUUGGAUGCACCUUCUCUUCUGCUCCCAAUAUGGAGCAUAUACUAGCAGUUGCCAAUGAAGAAGGCUUCGUUAGAUUAUAUAACACAGAAUCACAAACCAGUAGAAAGAAGUGUAUCAAAGAAUGGAUGGCUCACUGGAAUGCUGUCUUUGACCUGGCCUGGGUCCCUGGUGAACUUAAACUUGUUACUGCAGCAGGUGAUCAGUCAGCCAAAUUUUGGGAUGUAAAAGCUGGCGAGCUCAUUGGAACGUGCAAAGGUCAUCAGUGCAGCCUCAAGUCAGUUGCUUUUUCUAAGUUUGAGAAAGCUGUCUUCUGUACAGGGGGAAGAGACGGCAACAUUAUGGUCUGGGACACCAGGUGCAACAAAAAAGAUGGAUUUUAUAGGCAGGUGAAUCAAAUCAGUGGAGCUCACAAUACCUUAGACAAGCAAACCCCUUCAAAACCCAAGAAGAAACAGAAUUCAAAAGGACUUGCUCCUUCUGUGGAUUUCCAGCAGAGCGUGACUGUGGUCCUCUUUCAAGAUGAGAAUACGUUAGUCUCAGCAGGAGCUGUGGAUGGGAUAAUCAAAAUAUGGGAUUUGCGUAAGAAUUAUACUGCUUAUCGACAAGAACCCAUAGCAUCCAAGUCUUUCCUGUACCCAGGUAGCAGCACUCGAAAACUAGGAUACUCAAGUCUGAUUUUGGAUUCCACUGGCUCUACUCUAUUUGCUAACUGCACAGAUGAUAACAUCUACAUGUUCAAUAUGACUGGAUUAAAGACUUCUCCAGUGGCUGUCUUCAAUGGACAUCAGAACUCUACCUUUUAUGUUAAAUCCAGUCUUAGUCCAGAUGACCAGUUUUUAGUCAGUGGCUCAAGUGAUGAAGCUGCCUACAUCUGGAAGGUCUCCACACCUUGGCAUCCUCCUACUGUGCUCCUGGGUCAUUCUCAAGAGGUCACGUCUGUGUGCUGGUGUCCAUCAGACUUCACAAAGAUUGCUACCUGCUCUGAUGACAAUACACUGAAAAUCUGGCGCUUGAAUAGAGGCUUAGAGGAGAAAUCCGGAGGAGAUAAACUCUCCAUAGUGGGUUGGGCCUCUCAGAAGAAAAAAGAGGCAAGAGCUGACCUAGUAACAGUGACAAGUAGCCAGAGUACUCCUGCCAAAGCCCCCAGAGUAAAGAGCAGUCCGUCCAUUUCCUCCCCAUCAUCAGCAGCUUGUGCUCCAAGCUGUGCUGGAGAUCUCCCUCUUCCUUCAAAUACUCCCACGUUCUCCAUUAAAACCCCUCCUGCCAAGGCCCGGUCUCCCAUCAGCAGAAGAGGCUCCGUCUCCUCGGUCUCUCCCAAGCCGCCUUCAUCUUUCAAGAUGUCCAUUAGAAAUUGGAUGACCCGAACACCUUCUUCAUCACCACCCAUCACUCCACCUGCUUCUGAGACCAAGCUUAUGUCGCCAAGAAAAGCCCUCAUUCCAGUGAGCCUGAAAUCAUCCCAAGCAGUGGCUUGCUCUGAGUCUAGAAAUAGAGUAAAGAGGAGGCUAGACUCAAGUUGUCUGGAGAAUGUGAAACAAAAGUGUGUGAAGAGUUGUAACUGUGUGACUGAGCUUGAUGACCCAGUUGAAAAGCUUCAUUUGGAUCUGUGCUGCCUUGCUGGUAACCAAGAAGACCUUGGUAAGGACUCUCUCGGUCCAACCAAACCCAGCAAGAUUGAAGGAGCUAGUAUGAGUAUCUCAGAGCCUCCUUCUCCUGCCAGUCCUUAUGCUUCAGAAGGCUGUGGAACGUUACCUCUUCCUUUGGGAUCUUGUGGUGAAGGAUCUGAAGUGGUAGGCAAAGAGAAUAGCUCCCCAGAGAAUAAAAACUGGUUAUUGGCCAUGGCAGCCAAACGGAAGGCUGAGAAUUCAUCUCCACGAAGUCCAUCAUCCCAGACCCCCAAUUCUAGAAGACAGAGCGGAAAGACUUCUCCAGGCCCGGUCACCAUUACGCCCAGCUCCAUGAGGAAAAUCUGUACAUACUUCCAUAGAAAAUCUCAAGAUGACUACUGUAGUCCUGAACAGUCAACGGAAUUAUAGAUACUAAUCUGAAAGCCAAGGGCCAGAGGAAAGAGAAGCCCCAUUGCUCUUUAUAGGCAGUGUUUGCACCGGAGUAUCAAGUGAGUUGGAGCAUUAAAGAAAGCUGUUUUGUCCUCACUAGACCUUAACAGUGACCUUCCUCGAGGAGUCAAACUCUGUCCCUCCCACGUACUCACAAGCACAGUGUGAAUCAAGAAGCAGCACGUAUAAAAAGACCUCUCUGAAGACUGAAAGGGAUUGUUCCUGACAAGCCUGCAGAACAGCAGACGGCUUAUAGGGGGGCUGAGCUCUACAUGGGGAAUCUGUCAAGCUGACAAAGGGCCAGUUCUCCCAGGGACAGGAAGUUUGGAAGGUGAACUGCAGGGAAACUCAUUCAGUGAGGACAGAGGAACCACUCUCUUCCCAUUUCCCUUUGACUGUGCCUCCACAGAAGAGCCAGGCAGCUGCCUCAUCCCCAUCUACCCAGGCCUGCAAGCAGGCUCUGCUUCCACCCAUGAAAAGUGGGACUUACUCUCUCACCAUAAACAUCUGAAAAACUGGAUCAAAGAUAUGAAACAACUACUUCCAGACACUGGACAAGAAGCAGUAAUCUUAUAAGUAAGUAGGACUGUGGUCCCUAAGGGAAGGGAAACAAAUGAGGUGAGCCCUCAGUGGUGGAGGCAAUUUUCAGAUUGCUCAGCCCCCCGAUACAGCACCACUGCAAUUUUACAGAUUGUUUGGAAAACCCGAACAGAGCCCCAUGGUCUUGCUGAGUUGAAGAGACAGAGAUUGGAGUUUGGGGAAGCCAGGUCAGCUAGAAUUCGCUAGAUAAACGCCAGAAAGGAGAGAGCUACAUGGAGAAUGAGCUCUGUAUAAGGAGUGGAGUCUUUGGCUGAAUACCAGGCUGUGUGCGCAUAGGAUGACACUUCAUUAGUCCAGGCCUAAGAAAAACUGCCAGGGAAAGAACAAUUACUGAGAAGCUGUAAGCUGAAAAAUUCCUAGAGCUCAUAUGGGGCUGGGAAUCAUUCAAGUUCCCACCAGCCCAAGUAGAGAGACCUUAUUGUAGCAGAGCAUUUUCUAAAGAUGACCCAAUAGCUCUCAUCCCACCUACUCUUCUACAAUGUGACCUUGCUCUUCCCACGUCAAGAGGUAGAGUCUGAUUUCUUCUCCUUUAAUCUAGGAAAGCUUGUGAGUGCUUCUCACAGAUGAAUAUGGUAGUGAUUCUGUGUUGACUUUGAGGCUAAGUUGGAAAGGCUAUGUAGCUUCCAGACACCCAUGUCAUCUAUCACCUCUUCCUCAGCUCACACUUGUGACCGCACAGGGGGGCCCUCAUGAUCAGCUGAUAGAGGAAGAAAAGGCUAGUCUUGGUUCAUGGACUAGUCAAGCCACAAAUGGAUUGGUGCUGCAUUACAGCCCAUCCAGGGGCAGCCCUGAAACACAGGUGAGGGCAAAUCUUCAUAAUAGACAGACCUUUCAUGUAUUUGUCAUUUCCUUGUGAAGAAAGAGAAUAGCCUGAGGUGAAGAAUAUAGAAGAAUUCAUAGUGGUGAAUGGCUUGGCUAUAUUGGUCAGGGGACUAGGGAGAAGAAAGAUUAGAAGAUAAGGGACAAGGAGGUCUGGGGGAGAGACAUGGAUAGACCUAUGGGAGUGGGCAUGAAGUAUGAAGACCACCAGAAGCCAAGCACCCAAAUAGAAUGCCUCCAAACACCCAAAUAGAAUGACUCAGCCAGUUGAUGUCAGAUGGCCUCUGUCAUUGGCCACCUCAGUGCAAACUCCCAAUCACAAAGACUGGUCUAGCUACUGUUGCCACAUACGACCAACCUACCAGGAACAGAAACUGAUGCUCAGCCCCCAAUACAGCACCAUCCUUCAAAGACACAAGCCAGCCACUUGUGGCAAGUUGAUUACGCUGGGCCUUUUUCACCCUGGAAGAGGGAACAAUUUAUCUUGACUGGGAUUAAACAUAUUGCAUUAAAUCAGAAUGGAUCAUGAGCUUACACGUAAAAUGUAAAGCUAUAAAACUUUUAGAAAACAAAACAGGAGAAAAUCUUUGGGCACUAAGGCUAGGCAAAGAGUUCUUUGACUUGAUGCCAAAAGCAUGAUCCAUACAAAGAAAAAUUGAUAAAUUUGACCUCAUCAAAAUUAAAAACUUUUGUUCUGUGAAAGAUCCUGUAAAGAGGAUGAAAAGGCAAACUACAAUUGGGAGAAAGUAUUUUCAAAGCUCAUAUCUGACAAAGAACUAGUAUCUACAAUACAUAAAGAACUCUUAAAACUCCACGGUAAAAAAAAAAUCCAGUUAGGAAAUGGGCAAAAAAUAUGAAGAGCCAUGUUACUGAAGAAGAUACACAGAUGGCAAAUAAGCACGUGGAAAGACAUUCAAUAUCAUUAGCUGUUAGAUAUCACUACACACAUACUAAAAUGAAAAAUAGUGACAACAUCAAAUGCUGGUGAGGAUGUGGAAAAACAGGAUCACUCACACAUUGCUGGUGGGAAUGUAAAAUGGUGCAGCCACACUGGGAAACAGUUUGACAGUUUUUUAUAAAACUAAGCAUACAAUUACCCAGCAAUUGCACUCUUGGGCAUUUAUCCCAGAGAAAAGUAAGACUUAUUGUCACACAAGAACCUGUACACAAAUGUUCACAGAAGCUUUAUUCAUUACAGCCAAAAAACUGGAAACAGCCCAGAUGUCCUUCACUGAGUGAAUGGUUACACUAACUGGUACAUUCAUACCACCGAAUACUCGGUAAUAAAAAGGAAUGAACUAUUGAUGAAUGCGGCCUGGAUGAACCUUCAGGGAAUUAUGCUGAGUGAAAAAAGCCAUUUCCAAAAGGUUAUGUACUGUAUGACUCCAUUUAUAAAACAUUUUUGAAAUGACAAAAUUUUAGAAAUGGAAAACAGAUUAAUGUUUGUUAGGGUUUAGAGAUAGGGGAAGGGAGGGAGAGGCAAGUGUGGUUAUAAAAGGCCAACACAGGGAUCCUUGUAAGGAUGGAACUGUUCUGUAUCUUCACUGUGUGGUGGAUACACAAACCUAUACCUGUGAUAAAAUUGUAUAGAACUAAGCGUAUGCACACACACACACAAAUGAGUACAAGUAAAAUUGGGGCAAUCUGGGUGGUAUCACUGUCCAUAUCCUGGUUGUGACAUUGUACUAUAGUUUUGCAAGAUGUACCAUUGAGAGAAACUGGGUAAAAGAGUACAUGGGACCUCUGUUUUAACUUUUACAACUGCAUGUGCAUUUACAAUUAUCAAAUACAGAUUUAACUUAACAAGAAUA